UACGUAGGUGGCAAGCGUUGUCCGGAUUUACUGGGUGUAAAGGGUGCGUAGGCGGGGCGGCAAGUUGGAUGUGAAAUACCAGCGCUCAACGUUGGGGCUGCAUUCAAAACUGUCGCUCUUGAGUGAAGUAGAGGUAGGCGGAAUUCCCGGUGUAGCGGUGAAAUGCGUAGAGAUCGGGAGGAACACCAGUGGCGAAGGCGGCCUACUGGGCUUUUACUGACGCUGAGGCACGAAAGCAUGGGUAGCAAACAGG
Molecule: ribosomal RNA, 253 nt
Filed under: uncultured bacterium
Lineage: Bacteria
Description: partial 16S ribosomal RNA
Rfam family: Bacterial small subunit ribosomal RNA
Source: RNAcentral